GAGAUAACCCUGUACGACGCGCACGAGAUAAUUUUCACCUAAUUAUAUUUCGGGACGAGUAUCGCACUUGGCAAUUUGGCCAAUUAGAAAGUUCAAUAAAGGGGAUAGAGUGUCUUAAAGAAAACCAUAACCCCCUUUUCACCUGCUGUAGCCAUUGUUUUCUUUUGCGCGCUUUUGUUACGUGUCGAUUAUCGUAAUCAGGAUUGGGAUUUUCCUACUUGCGAUGACGUGUGGUCCGGGUUCACUUGACUUUGGCCUAUUGGGGAGAAGCCCCUCUUUGAUCAGUGUAUAACAGUAUAAUGGACUGCAAAACCACCUUUGGUUAACCAGGAAAACCAGGCGACCGGGCUUUGCCCUGGAAAAAUAAAUCAACGGAAGUGCCGGAAACAUCGACUUGCUUCGAUCUAGAUCGGUGGUGAAUGCUGGCCCACAUUGUUUAGCGCGAGGCGAGAGUUAAAGUUUGGAAGAGGAAAGAAGGUGGGCCGACCGCUAAGCGCAUUGUGCAGAAUACGUAAUAUGUAUUGACCCCCAUAUUUCGAUAUGUACGCCGUGUCGUAUCCGCAAAGAGGGCUCACGCAAUUGGCCAGUCGAUGUAUUUUAAAUUAAGCCUCGGUAAUUAGGUCCCGGUACUGAUAUCGGCCGCGAGCCGUGCGUUUUUAACGAGGCACCGUUAGUUACCUCGUAAAAACCGGAUCAAUUUUAAAAUCUGGUUUCCACUGGUCCGGAAGGGACGGAAUAAAAUGAAUGAAAUUUGGUAAUAAUGUUAACAACCGUUAAACAUCGGUGAUGCGAAGAUUCUUUCUCUGAAAGAAAUUUUUAUUUUCAAAGAAUACGAAUUUUAAACAGAACUUUAAACAGAAGUAAGUUAAAAUUCUACGGAUUUCAUCAACAAUUAAAAAUAAUACCAAUAAAAGCAGAUAGAUAUAUGUAUGUAAAAGAAUUUAUCUUGAUAAAAAAAAUAACGAAAGUUUCAUAUUUUAACUUUUGCUUGAGUCCUCUUCAAUACAUAUGACGUUCAGUUAUAUAAAAUCAUACAUUAAUUAUUACAUUAAACAAACCUAAUCAUCUGUAUAACAAACUUUUCAUAAUAUGGCAAGAUAAGUAUAAAAGUGAUGUGAAGUGCAUAGUUGAAAGAUAAAACCAGACGUCGAGUAGAUAUGUUUUAUCGUACAAAAAUAAUACAGUAUAAUCAACAAUCUUUGAUUAGAAGAUACAUAAUAAUACGUAUAAAAGUAAAAUUUUAUAUAACACAUGUUGUGAAUAGAAUAUAUAUAGAAUAUUUCUUAAAUAAUGCUCAAUCCAAUUAGCCUGGUCCUUUAAGCUUUGUCCACAAUGCUAAAAAUAGCUUCGAGAUCUCGAACAAAGGGAAAAUUGAUCAAACAUUUGCUAUUCGUCAAUUGGUCAAUAUGAUUGGUUAAUUUUUUCUUUGUCUGAAGUCUCGGAUUUCUGGCAUCAUAGAUAUAAAUCUUAAAAAAUUGGCGUUGAUUGAUUUGAGCGCUAUUGAGGCAUAUGUGAGUGAGACAAAGAUAGCUCAUUCAUGUAGGUCCAAUAGUUCACGCACACCAUCAAGUGACUUACUCAUAUAGGCCCGUCCAAAGGAUGGCCUAUUGAUUGGAUUAACCUUUCUCAAUUAUUUAUUUUAUUAUUCAUUAUAGAAAAAAGAUUUAGGACUUUUAGAUGUAAUUUUUUAUGAGAAAUAUUGCUACAUCAGUAAACUAUUUAAGAAGCACUCUAUAUACACGCGUUAAAAAUUCAACAAUUUCAGAUUAGUCUCAUCUCUGAGAUCAAUCAUCGCACAUUAUGGAAAGAUAGGAAGUGAGGAACGGGAAAGAUAAUUGGCGUGAAUAUCGAAUAUUAUUUUUAACAUUAAAAAAAAUUAUAAAUUGUCAAACUAGAAAUUAUCACGACUGCCCUACGAAAUCGAUGCUCACCUCCUCCUGUUAAUUCGUUAAAUUUCGCUGGAUUCGUUAACCUUUCCUGAAUUAAGUUUAGCGCCUAAAAUCGGUUGAGUUGCGGCGCGAGUCGAUUUCAAUCAUAAACGCAAACGUUAUUACGGUUUCGCUGCAAACGCGUUGCAACUGGAGAAACCCCCUCGCGUUCAAUCUUAUUGCAUCUACAUACAUACGUACAGAUGCACAUUUUAUGUUCUUUCGCAUCAAAAUGCAGCGAAUUCCUGACCUAGUGCCUCCUAUACUUAUGCUUAACGGUAGUAUCGUUAUAAUACUCCGUACUUUGAAGAAUCGCACACUCACUUCUUUUCACGAAAAGAAAGAAAAAAAAAAAAAGAAUUCUACAUCCCCAAUAUUGGUUUUGAUCGGGUCAAUAUCGGAUUAUUCCUUGACUGAGAUUUUAUCCGUCAAGAAUCAAAGAACCAUUGCCACCUUCUCUUCCUUCACUUGGAGUUACACGUCGUAGACUUAAUUUACCGUGAGUGUAGCCACGUGUAUCGGAAAGAAAUUAUCUCGCGGUCAGCUACUUUCUAAGUGUAAACGACACGUGCGGUUGUUUUGCUGAGCGGGCAAUUAAAUCCAGUCGAAGUAAUUAUUAUAGGAUGUCGUAAUUAUUAUUAUAGAAAGAAAAAAAAUGUAUGUAAUGCCGAAGGAUAUACGGAAAUUAGGUGGAUUUUAAUUUCUAUUGAAAUCUUCCGAUAAUACACUCUCGGAUAUCAGCGUAUGAUGUAAUCUUUUUUAAUCGUACUUCCGGUGUAAUAUCAUUCCGGUCUAAAGAUUUAUCGGGAGUUGAUGUAACGGUCAAUGAUCCUAUUUCUCUCAUAUAUACGCGUUUAUCGCACAUUCGGACGAAAGCGAACGUGAUGAUUUGCAACCUGUUAGAAAUUAGUCUUUCGUAUCUAGGAUCAAUUUAUUCUGAGAAUUGUGCUAAAUUGUGGUCUGUGUUAUGCACUUUGUACUUGAAUACUAAAACCAAUGUUAAUUAUUAACAUGUGAAAAAUUUAUUGGAAAAGGAAAAACAAUUAUAGACAUAAACAAUGGUGCUAUUCGAGCCAUUUGGAAUUGUCCAGGAUUGAUACCGUAAACUUGAACUGAAAAAAAAAAAA
This 3055-nucleotide long non-coding RNA is filed under the name Pogonomyrmex barbatus (red harvester ant). RNAcentral's name for it is "uncharacterized LOC105422288, transcript variant X2". Lineage: Eukaryota; Metazoa; Arthropoda; Insecta; Hymenoptera; Formicidae. The record is from RNAcentral.